This 240-nucleotide long non-coding RNA is filed under the name Lathyrus oleraceus (garden pea). RNAcentral describes it as "Pisum sativum (pea) long non-coding RNA (PSAT_LNC000506)". The record is from RNAcentral. Lineage: Eukaryota; Viridiplantae; Streptophyta; Magnoliopsida; Fabales; Fabaceae.
UUAUUUAUAUUUUCUGGUUUUUCAUUUAAUCCCUUUAUUUUGUUUAAUUCAUAUUAAUUCCAUUUUUAAUCCAAAAAAUAUAGGACUUUCAUCAAAAAUAUUCAAAUAUUUUUCUGUUACAUAUUUUGAAUUAAAAUUAUUUUUGGACUAUUUUUGGUAUUUUUCAUGAAUUAAAUGUUUUUGUGCAUAUUUUUAAUUGUUUAAAAAUACUUUUGACCAUUUAAAAAUAGUGAUUUUUUU